RNAcentral lists this ribosomal RNA (507 nucleotides) under uncultured bacterium. RNAcentral's name for it is "partial 16S ribosomal RNA". It matches the Rfam family "Bacterial small subunit ribosomal RNA", at positions 28 to 507 of the family's 1533-position model. The record is from RNAcentral.
GACGAACGCUGGCGGCGUGCCUAAUACAUGCAAGUCGAACGCAUUUUCUUUCACCGUAGCUUGCUACACCGAAAGAAAAUGAGUGGCGAACGGGUGAGUAACACGUGGGUAACCUGCCCAUCAGCGGGGGAUAACACUUGGAAACAGGUGCUAAUACCGCAUAAUUCCAUUUACUGCAUGGUAGAUGGAUGCAAGGCGCUUUUGCGUCACUGAUGGAUGGACCCGCGGUGCAUUAGCUAGUUGGUGGGGUCACGGCCUACCAAGGCUGCGAUGCAUAGCCGACCGGGGAGGGUGAGCGGCAACACUGGGAAUGAGACACGGCCCAGACGCCUACGGGAGGCAGCAGUAGGGAAUCUUCGGAAAUGGACGCAAGUCUGACCGAGCAACGCCGCGUGAGUGAAGAAGGUUUUCGGAUAGUAAAACUCUGUUGUUAGAAAAGAACAAGGAUGAGAGUGGAAAGUUCAUCCCUUGACGGUAGCUAACCAGAAAGCCACGGCUAACUACGUG